CAGAACAUCCCAACGUCGAUCUCAAACCAUCCUAACAAUCGUAUGAGGCUAUGCCUAUGAGCUGAGGUUUUAGUGGAAACUGAAAAUGGGCACUGCCGCAAUGUGUUUCUGUGGACUGUAGUGUUGCGGGUGUUUAUGUGGCGCAGCGAACCUCCCACCACUUAGCAUCCAUCUACGUUUGUAUUUACUGCGUGUUUCCAGAAACAAAUUUCAGACAACUGCUAAUUAGCUGUGAUCUGUGAAUGGGACCUGUAAUCCAUGUGGCAAUUUAUGUGGCUUCGUCGACAUAAAUUCGGAUAGGGAAGCUGGGCUGAGUAUUGGUUCGCAGAAACUUAAUUUGUGUAUAGUAUUUGCCAAAGACUUUGUACCUUACGCCAAGAUCCAGGUGUAAUUCUUUGAAGUUCAAGCGCUGCUAAUAAUACCAAUAAUCCCCUUGUUACA
RNAcentral lists this long non-coding RNA (441 nucleotides) under Setaria italica (foxtail millet). Its description in RNAcentral is "long non-coding RNA (SITA_LNC002702)". The record is from RNAcentral. Lineage: Eukaryota; Viridiplantae; Streptophyta; Magnoliopsida; Poales; Poaceae.